This is a non-coding RNA of Acanthosepion pharaonis, 99 nucleotides long. Lineage: Eukaryota; Metazoa; Mollusca; Cephalopoda; Sepiida; Sepiidae. The record is from the annotation of a GenBank genome assembly.
AUUGAAACUCCGAUUCCCGUAAGAUCACCAAAGUUAAGCCACGUCAAGCCUGGUCAAUACCCAAAUGGGUGACUGUUUGGGAAUACUAGAUGCUGUAAG